Molecule: ribosomal RNA, 253 nt
Filed under: uncultured bacterium
Lineage: Bacteria
Description: partial 16S ribosomal RNA
Rfam family: Bacterial small subunit ribosomal RNA
Source: RNAcentral
UACGUAGGGUGCAAGCGUUAAUCGGAAUUACUGGGCGUAAAGCGUGCGCAGGCGGUUUUGUAAGUCUGUCGUGAAAUCCCCGGGCUCAACCUGGGAAUGGCGAUGGAGACUGCAAGGCUAGAAUCUGGCAGAGGGGGGUAGAAUUCCACGUGUAGCAGUGGAAUGCGUAGAGAUGUGGAGGAACACCGAUGGCGAAGGCAGCCCCCUGGGUCAAGAUUGACGCUCAUGCACGAAAGCGUGGGGAGCAAACAGG